This is a non-coding RNA of Triticum aestivum (bread wheat), 125 nucleotides long. The record is from Rfam. NCBI's taxonomy places the organism in Eukaryota, Viridiplantae, Streptophyta, Magnoliopsida, Poales, Poaceae.
AUAAUACUUCCUCCGUCUGAAAAUACUUGUCACAAAAAUUGAUAAAAAUAAAUGUAUCUAGAACUAAAAUACGUCUAGAUACAUUAUUUUCGCCGACAAGUAUUUCCGGGCGGAGGGAGUAAAUA